UUUAUUUAUUUUUUUUAUAAAUAUCAUCUAAUUUGUUAUAGCUUAUUUUAUCACUAGAGUAGUAAUAAUGAUUUAUUUAUUUAUUUUAUAAUUUACCUAAAUUUUUUAAAUAAGAUGAAUGGUCAAACACGAUGUAAGUAAAAAAAUGUCACUCUUUUUAUAACGAAGAGAGUAGGUAUUAAACAUGUAGUUUUUUAGGAGAGCAUGUAGUUGAAAACUAGAAGCAGGAUGCUUGAUUACAUAGGGUGGCCCUUAUACUUUGAACAUUCGUAGAAAUAUGUGGUACAAUUUGGCACUUGCAUCGGACCUACAUUCAUAC
RNAcentral lists this long non-coding RNA (319 nucleotides) under Sorghum bicolor (sorghum). Its description in RNAcentral is "long non-coding RNA (SBIC_LNC013454)". Lineage: Eukaryota; Viridiplantae; Streptophyta; Magnoliopsida; Poales; Poaceae. The record is from RNAcentral.